AUUGAACGCUGGCGGCAGGCUUAACACAUGCAAGUCGAGCGGGGGAAGGUAGCUUGCUACCGGACCUAGCGGCGGACGGGUGAGUAAUGCUUAGGAAUCUGCCUAUUAGUGGGGGACAACAUCUCGAAAGGGAUGCUAAUACCGCAUACGUCCUACGGGAGAAAGCAGGGGAUCUUCGGACCUUGCGCUAAUAGAUGAGCCUAAGUCGGAUUAGCGAGUUGGUGGGGUAAAGGCCUACCAAGGCGACGAUCUGUAGCGGGUCGUAGAGGAUGAUACGCCACACUGGGACUGAGACACGGGCCAGACUCCUACGGGAGGCAGCAGUGGGGAAUAUUGGACAAUGGGGGGAACCCUGAUCCAGCCAUGCCGCGUGUGUGAAGAAGGCCUUAUGGUUGUAAAGCACUUUAAGCGAGGAGGAGGCUACUCUAGUUAAUACCUAGGGAUAGUGGACGUUACUCGCAGAAUAAGCACCGGCUAACUCUGUGCCAGCAGCCGCAGUAA
This 501-nucleotide ribosomal RNA is filed under the name uncultured bacterium. RNAcentral's name for it is "partial 16S ribosomal RNA". It matches the Rfam family "Bacterial small subunit ribosomal RNA", at positions 30 to 523 of the family's 1533-position model. The record is from RNAcentral.